RNAcentral lists this ribosomal RNA (253 nucleotides) under uncultured bacterium. RNAcentral's name for it is "partial 16S ribosomal RNA". It matches the Rfam family "Bacterial small subunit ribosomal RNA", at positions 524 to 776 of the family's 1533-position model. The record is from RNAcentral.
UACGUAGGGCGCAAGCGUUAUCCGGAAUUAUUGGGCGUAAAGAGCUCGUAGGCGGUCUGUCGCGUCUGCCGUGAAAGUCCGGGGCUUAACUCCGGAUCUGCGGUGGGUACGGGCAGACUAGAGUGCAGUAGGGGAGACUGGAAUUCCUGGUGUAGCGGUGAAAUGCGCAGAUAUCAGGAGGAACACCGAUGGCGAAGGCAGGUCUCUGGGCUGUAACUGACGCUGAGGAGCGAAAGCAUGGGGAGCGAACAGG